This 306-nucleotide long non-coding RNA is filed under the name Phoenix dactylifera (date palm). Its description in RNAcentral is "long non-coding RNA (PDAC_LNC006762)". Lineage: Eukaryota; Viridiplantae; Streptophyta; Magnoliopsida; Arecales; Arecaceae. The record is from RNAcentral.
GGCUAGUUUUUGAAUUCUAACCAUUGGGGCUUGACCAAAGAAGGUGGGAAAUUAUUUAAAGGGGCACUAUUCAUCAGAGAGAAUAACUUUUGAAAGGAAUAUCAAAGAGUACUCAAGAACACAAAAGUGCCCUAAUCUUCUUCAUCAAGAGCUUCAUUCAAGAAUCAAAGAAAGGGAUUGAGCAGAUUCAAAGAGGCAUCAAGAGCUCCAUCCCCCCUUGAAGAGUGAAGCAUCCUUGACAAAGAAGAGCAAAGCCACUUCAAAGCGAUAAAUACUUUCUAACUCUUUCUUGUAGCUUAUAUUGUU